Molecule: non-coding RNA, 70 nt
Filed under: unclassified sequences
Description: L2-Alphaproteobacteria ribosomal protein leader
Rfam family: L2-Alphaproteobacteria ribosomal protein leader
Source: RNAcentral
GGGGACCUGCGGGGCCCUAUAACCUGAAAAGACGGGGCGAAUGCCCCGCAAAGCAAACGGAAGACAGUAA